UUAAAGUUUGAUCUUUGCUUUUUUCUCUAUUAUAAGGAUGACUUUACAUGAAAGUUCAAGCUAGAGAUUUAUUAUUGAUAGAGUCAUAUUUAUAAAUUCUCAGUAUAUAUUUUUAGGGUUUAAGUUAAUACUUGAGCUAGUAAUUCUUUAGAUUUCAGGCUAAAUUUGUGCCAGCAGCCGCGGUUAGACUGAGAGAGAGGAUAGAGAAGAGAAGUAUGUAGUUAUAAUAGGAGGUUUAUAUAAUUAGGGGUAUGAGUUUAAGGAGUGAAAUCCAUAUUUUUAUAGUGUCCUGUUUUGUUUAUAUUAAAUUUAUUUUAAAACUAUUAAGAUUCAGGUUUAAACCAGGAUUAGAUACCCUGUUAUACUGAAGGUAAAAUAUAAUACGCUUGAGUAGUAAUAAGUUAUAAGCUCGAAACUUAAAAGAUUUGGCGGUAUUUAAGUCUAGUUAGAGGAACCUGCUUUAUAAACGAUAUGCCACGAAUUAUCUUACUUUAUUUUGUAUUCAAUUUGUAUACCUCCAUUUUUAAAUAAUACUHHSUUGAAGUAUUUUUUUAAAUAGAAAAAUUUCUAGUUUAUUAGGUCAAGGUGCAGUUUAUAGUAAAGUAAAUGUGGGUUACACUAUAUUAUAUUAUUUAUGGAUAAAUAUAUGUAAUUUAUAUUUUGAAAUUGGAUUUAAUAGUAUUUUUGAAUUAAUAAGUCAGGAUGAUAGUAGCUCUUUAAUAUGUACACAUCGCCCGUCGCUCUCAUUAUAAAGUGAGAUAAGUCGUAACAUAGUGGUUGUAUUGGAAAAUGCAUCUGGAAAGA
Molecule: non-coding RNA, 804 nt
Filed under: Palaemon gravieri
Lineage: Eukaryota; Metazoa; Arthropoda; Malacostraca; Decapoda; Palaemonidae
Description: 12S ribosomal RNA
Rfam family: Microsporidia small subunit ribosomal RNA (bases 389-798)
Source: RNAcentral